Molecule: long non-coding RNA, 592 nt
Organism: Alosa sapidissima (American shad)
Lineage: Eukaryota; Metazoa; Chordata; Actinopteri; Clupeiformes; Clupeidae
Exons: 2
Source: RefSeq, a predicted model, not a curated record
GAGAUGGUUUCGUAGCCUCUUUAACAGCUCAGUGACAUCAGUCACAAUUUGAAAAGGAACUUUGGAUAUCUUACCAUGGCCUUCAAGUGAGCCACAUCAAUGCUUCCAUCUUUAUCCACCUCUACCACCUGAACCUUCAUACCAGCCAUCUGGGCACUUGCAGGAUUAGUACCAUGGGCUGAUUUAGGGAUCAGGCAUACCUGAGAACAACAUCAAAAAUCAGCUGACCAAAAGGACUGGGGCCGCAACUAAUGAUCCAUUUUCAUAGUUGAUUAAUCUGCCGCUUAUCCUCUUGAAGAGCAACUUGCAGGUUGAUUUCAAAACUGAAUUACUUCAUCUUAUAUGACAACGUAUUUUUAAAAAUGUAUAUGUACGAAUUAAUAUAUGUUAGUAUAAUAUAUGUUGCUACGUUCAUAUUACGUUCAUAUUACCGUUUACAUGUCACACAGCAUAUUCUGAUUUAUAACGACUUUAUCAAAGUUAUAAACGUUCCAAUGUUUCCAUUGUGUGCGUUCAGAUAUCUGUAAGUAUUGCUACAUUGUGUUUGUUACAUACCGUAAAACUUUAAAUUAAAGCUGAGUCCCAAAUAGAA